GCAUAUCAAUAAGCGGAGGAAAAGAAACCAACAGGGAUUGCCCCAGUAACGGCGAGUGAAGCGGCAACAGCUCAAAUUUGAAAUCUGGCCCCAGGCCCGAGUUGUAAUUUGCAGAGGAUGCUUUUGGCGCGGUGCCUUCCGAGUUCCCUGGAACGGGACGCCAUAGAGGGUGAGAGCCCCGUACGGUUGGACACCAAGCCUUUGUAAAGCUCCUUCGACGAGUCGAGUAGUUUGGGAAUGCUGCUCUAAAUGGGAGGUAUAUUUCUUCUAAAGCUAAAUAUAGGCCAGAGACCGAUAGCGCACAAGUAGAGUGAUCGAAAGAUGAAAAGCACUUUGAAAAGAGGGUUAAACAGCACGUGAAAUUGUUGAAAGGGAAGCGCUUGUGACCAGACUUGCGUCCGGUGAAUCACCCAGCUCUCGCGGCUGGGGCACUUUGCCGGCACAGGCCAGCAUCAGCUCGCUGUCGGGGACAAAAGCUUCGGGAACGUAGCUCUCUUCGGGGAGUGUUAUAGCCCGUUGCAUAAUACCCUUCGGUGGGCUGAGGUACGCGCUCCGCAAGGAUGCUGGCGUAAUGGUCAUCAGCGACCCGUCUUGAAACACGGACCAAGGAGUCAACCUUAUGUGCGAGUGUUUGGGUGUUAAACCCCUACGCGUAAUGAAAGUGAACGCAGGUGAGAGCUUCGGCGCAUCAUCGACCGAUCCUGAUGUUCUCGGACGGAUUUGAGUAAGAGCAUAUAGGGUUGGACCCGAAAGAAGGUGAACUAUGCGUGUAUAGGGUGAAGCCAGAGGAAACUCUGGUGGAGGCUCGCAGCGGUUCUGACGUGCAAAUCGAUCGUCAAAUAUGCGCAUGGGGGCGAAAGACUAAUCGAACCUUCUAGUAGCUGGUUUCCGCGA
RNAcentral lists this ribosomal RNA (894 nucleotides) under Colletotrichum circinans. RNAcentral's name for it is "LSU rRNA". It matches the Rfam family "Eukaryotic large subunit ribosomal RNA", at positions 38 to 963 of the family's 3401-position model. Lineage: Eukaryota; Fungi; Ascomycota; Sordariomycetes; Glomerellales; Glomerellaceae. The record is from RNAcentral.